Molecule: ribosomal RNA, 469 nt
Filed under: uncultured soil bacterium
Lineage: Bacteria
Description: bacterial SSU rRNA
Rfam family: Bacterial small subunit ribosomal RNA
Source: RNAcentral
AGAUUGAACGCUGGCGGCAUGCCUUACACAUGCAAGUCGAACGGUAGAGUAGCAAUACUUGAGAGUGGCGAACGGGUGAGUAAUAUAUCGGAACGUGCCCAGUCGUGGGGGAUAACGUAGAGAAAUUUACGCUAAUACCGCAUACGAUCUAAGGAUGAAAGCGGGGGACCGUAAGGCCUCGCGCGAUUGGAGCGGCUGAUAUCAGAUUAGGUUGUUGGUGAGGUAAAAGCUCACCAAGCCGACGAUCUGUAGCUGGUUUGAGAGAACGACCAGCCACACUGGGACUGAGACACGGCCCAGACUCCUACGGGAGGCAGCAGUGGGAAUUUGGACAAUGGCGAAAGCCUGAUCCAGCAAUGACCGCGUGCAGGAAGAAGGCCUUCGGUGUAAACUGCUUUUGUACGGAACGAACGGUCUGCUUUAAUACAGUGGCUAUGACGUACGUAAGAAUAAGCACGGCUAACUACGU